CCAUUGCCCUAUCCCAUCAAAGGUUUCUGAGGUUUGCCGUGGAAGAGGGUCAUUUCCAGUUCAGAGCACUCCCGUUUGGACUAAGCACAGCCCCAAGGACGUUCACAAAAGUGUUGGUAGUUCUGAUUGCAGAACUAAGAAAGCUGAAUAUCGCUAUCUAUCAUUAUUUGGACGACAUCCUGAUUAUAGGAAACAGCGAAGAUUCAUUGACCUCCCAAGCUAUUACCAGCAUUCAGUUUCUGCAAGCCCACGGCUGGAAGAUCAACACCAAGAAGAGCCACCUCCACCCAACUCAAUGUAUGAUUUAUUUAGGUGCUCA
Molecule: non-coding RNA, 319 nt
Organism: Pelobates cultripes (western spadefoot toad)
Lineage: Eukaryota; Metazoa; Chordata; Amphibia; Anura; Pelobatidae
Source: the annotation of a GenBank genome assembly